Long non-coding RNA from Siniperca chuatsi (mandarin fish), 4003 nucleotides. RefSeq lists it as uncharacterized. The transcript has 2 exons. The record is from RefSeq and is a predicted model, not a curated record. Lineage: Eukaryota; Metazoa; Chordata; Actinopteri; Centrarchiformes; Sinipercidae.
UGGUCCAGGACGUUUUAACACCUGAGACACUGUAAACCAACCUAAAGUUAUAGUUGUAGGUAUUUUAUUUCCCUCUGAGCAAAAUGAAUGAAUACAAUGUCAGUUAGCUUCAUCUUUGGGUGAAACACUUUGGCCUGAUGACACACUUUACAUGGAAAACAGCUCGUUGGUAGAAGAGCGGAGAUGAAGAAUUAGAUGGAUUUUUUAAUGUAAAUCAUCCGUCAGUGGGUUCAGACAGCAGAUCAGAAACAUCACAUCAACUGUUUUCACACAAUAAUCACACAGACAAGAAGUGUUUCGGUACAAUGGCAUUACAACCCCGCAGAUACCUGUUGGAUCAAUGAACCUAAAAGCAUCUAUUGUAAAUAUGUUUCUGUGUUGUGUUUCCUUUAUUUGAACAUUUGCUGCAUUUUCACUAGAACAAAACUAUCAUCACGAAAACACCGAAGGUGAAUGGAAGAAGUGUGCUCAUGAGUAACCGACAGGAAGCUGUUGAAUGUUUGUAGUUUUAGUUUGCUGCCACCUGCAGGACAUCGUGAGAAGUAGUCAGUGUGGUUGGUGUAGUUGCAGGUGUCCUCCAGGUGGAGGCGGUGCAGAAGAAGCAGAAGCAGCUGGUGUGUGAAGGUUUUUCAUGGAAUAAGAAGAGGAAGAUGUAAAGCUAUAAUGUGUGUGAGUGCGCGCGCGCUGAGGAGUGUGAAAAGACCGGGUCCCGCUGUCUCACUCAGGCUGCACUACAGCGUCUAUUCACAGGCGCGAUCCCACUACUGAGCGGCACGGGGCUUUGACCUGCUCCGUUUCCGACCUGGGCCGGUGCACCCCUCCUUAGACGACCUGGUGGCCCCGGGCUCCCCCAGGAGCACCAUAUCGAUACCGAGCUUAGUGUGGACACCCGAUCGGCAUAGUCCGCUGCAGCUCAGAGCUCCUGAGCUCAAACGAUCCGCCAGCCUCAGCCUCCCGGUAGCUUGGAUUACAGGCGCGCGCCACCGCACCCGGCGGCAAACACACACGCUCACAGGGCUUUUGACUUGGACUAACGUGACGUCACCACCUUGGGAAGGUAUGAAACUCCAGUGAUUUUGUGAUGUAUCAGAUCAGUCCGAUCAGCUGCAGCGUCCAAUCAAUAACUGAAAGAAGGGAGACUGAAGCUGUAUCCUCGCUCAUUGCUCCUCAGAGAUCCCUCCUCGCUCCUCGGAGCACAAAUAAGAGACUUAGGAUGGCCUUCAAGAUAGCGGACCAGAGCGACUGCCAGUUCAAGCGAGGAUCGAGGAAAUGACAAAUAAGAGACUUGGGAUGCACCCCAUAUAUGUGUGGGGCACCCAGGUGUGAGCAAUUUGACCUAUUUUCUGGCCUAAUUAAGAGUUUUGUCAAAUGUAAUGUUUUCCUUAAAUAUGUUCAAGAUGAAGCUGAAUAUGUUUAUGUAUUUUCAUGAUGUGUUUUGGACAUCAGUGGUCAUAUUAUGGUUGUUUUGAUAUUAAUUGAUAAGUUUGUCUGUAUGAUGCAGUGGAAGGAGUCAACCAUGUAUAAAAAGAGCAGGGGCGUCCUUCUGUAUGUGUGGUGCUGAGCAGACUGGUGGUAGGAGCAGGUCCAGUUUUCAAAUCACCUUUUAUUUUAGAACAAUAAAUACACCAUCCCACUAGUAGACAAAGUCUCAGGUUUUGGAGCUUAAAAAGUCAUUUCUCAUGUCAGUUUUUGGCCAAACUACACUCACUCAGGAACAGAAUGUGACACUUUUGAAUAGAAAGUAAAUCUUGUCAAUUUAAGUUUACAUAUAUUUAUAUAGCCCAAAAUCACAAAUCUGCCUUCCAGGAUGGACAGACAUGCAAGAGAUGUCAUAUAGUCUAGAAGAAUAAAAAGAGAUAACAUAGUAAAAUUACAAUGUGGAGAAAUAUUGACCAUAUUAGGUCAAUAAAGUGCAAACAGAGUAUGGAUCAGAGAAGACAUUUAGCAGCUUCCAGAUGCAGCCACUGGUAGAAUCUGAACCAUGAAACCUCCUCUGUAUGACAAAGACCUGGAGAGAGGACAGACCACACAUACAACAAGAGGCAAAACUCAUACCACACACACACUUGUUUUGUGUGUGUGUGUGUGUGUGUGUGUGUGUGUGAUGCGCCCCCUUUCUGUCUGUGUCUGCGUGCGCUGGUGUGUGCAGGUGUAUGACGGCUGCUUAUGCUCCAUCUGCGUCUGCUGCUGAUGAGUAAAGCCAUGAAAUAGAUCCAGCUGGAGAUGUGCAGAGGAGACUGAGGCCUCCUGGGAAAUCAUCCACACUUCCACCAGCACCGUGUCAACUUCUUUAGCACCCCAGAGAGCUAUCAAUAAGUGGGUAAUUGAAUUUUAAGCACAAACACGGCCGUCAAAUGAGCGUCGAAGGGGUGUGUGAUGGGGGAUGUUUAGCUGUGUGAACAUGGUGAGGCUGUCAUCUGGCCCAUUGGGAGUUUGCACAGGAAGGAUGAAUGUUUAAUCCAUUAAAUAACAAUUACAGCCUGUAAUGGUCCAGAGUGGCUGGUGGAAGGAGGGGGGGAGGGAGCCAACAUGGCUGAACUGCCCACGUGCCUGAAAAUGAAUUUGCUUCUUCAUGACCCAAAACAUCCUUACAUCACAGUGUUUGAGUAAACAUGUUUACCAUACAGGCUAAAUAAAGCUAUGUGUUUUGGGAGCAAAUUUGGGAAUUUGGGGGGGGGGUUUAACAACCAUGAGGGAAAAUAUGUAUGUUCUACAGUUAAAAACUUACACAUUGUGAGUAUUUUUUGACUUCAUUUAUUUAUUUAUGCUUUGAAACUGCUUUGAAAAUAGAUAAGAUUAGAUAACUUUUUUUUAUUCCCAGUGGGGAAACCAAUUUGGUCACCCAUGCACAAUGACAAAUAACAAGAGAGACACGAAUCAGACAGGUAACCUCAGACAAUAUAUGAAAGACAUGCUGCAACAGUUGUAACACUAACACACAAACUAACACAUAUUCCAAGAAGACAUUAGCUCAGGAACCUGCCUACCACAAAAUUAAAAACAAUGUAAAUUUUUCAGUUAAUAAAUAAAAGGCCAAUCAUAACUGAUGCACCUAAAAACAAAACCACUAAAUUAGGAAAUACAUAUAAAAAGAAAGCUUAAACAUUGUCAAAAAUUCCACCCCUAUCUCAGAAAACAAGCAAAACUGACAUGUCAUGUCAUUUAUAAAUAAGCUAAAUUCAAUGUCCUCCGAACUCAUUUGUACACAAACAAUAUGCUGAUGACGAUCUGACUUAAAUCAAAGGUGAUGCCAAUAUUUUAUUCAGUCAACAAAAAAAACUCACUUGUAAGAACAGCUUGUCAGAGUAAAAAACAGACUCUCUCGAGUCAGAAGUGAACAGAUGUUUGCAGAGAUUACAUUUCCACUCUGACUGUAAAUUAAGCAUGUGGACUGCAUAACAAAAUUAUUUUCUGGCAUCUACAAGUGGGAGGACAGACAGAGAGGAAAACACAGAGUAUUAAUCCCAGGGAAAUCAUGAAAAUAAGGAAAAUGGAAUCAAAUGGUGUCAAAACUCUGUUCAGUGUCAAAAAUAACGCUUUCACGUGAAUCAAAACGUUGGCUGGCUGCUGGAGUUUUAGCAUUUUAUAAGAUUACAGCUAAUUGCAAAGUGUGACCCCUUAGUUUGUGAUUAUUAAUGUCACUUGGAGAAAAAAAUGACACUUACCUAGAAAUCAAACAGAAAAGAGUUCACAAACUCUUCCCUUAAAAUGUAUCACCAAAUAAGUGACAUUCAUGUGUUUACAGAAUUUUUAAAUUAUCAGCAGCCAUGAGUGACUUUUUUUUUUUUUUGACUUGGUAAAAUCGAGUCUUCUCAGUAAAAGACAAGCUGGUGUUAAAUCCACAUCUGAAUCAGACAUGAAACUAAGAAACAUUUGGGGCAUUAAACGAUUAGAAACAUCUAAAGGCCUAAAUGGAGAACUAAAUGUUUGUGUCUUGCAUGUUUACUUGUUUUGCACAUAAAAGCUAUCAUGCUGCUCAAGAUGCAUAAAAUAUAAAUACAAU